This 253-nucleotide ribosomal RNA is filed under the name uncultured bacterium. Its description in RNAcentral is "partial 16S ribosomal RNA". It matches the Rfam family "Bacterial small subunit ribosomal RNA", at positions 524 to 776 of the family's 1533-position model. The record is from RNAcentral.
UACAGAGGAUGCAAGCGUUAUCCGGAAUGAUUGGGCGUAAAGCGUCUGUAGGUGGCUUUUUAAGUCCGCCGUCAAAUCCCAGGGCUCAACUCUGGACAGGCGGUGGAAACUACCAAGCUGGAGUACGGUAGGGGCAGAGGGAAUUUCCGGUGGAGCGGUGGAAUGCGUAGAGAUCGGAAAGAACAUCGGUGGCGAAGGCGCUCUGCUGGACCAUAACUGACACUCAGGGACGAAAGCUAGGGGAGCGAAUGGG